CAGCCGCCGCGGGAAUACGAAGGGGGCUAGCGUUGCUCGGAAUUACUGGGCGUAAAGGGCGCGUAGGCGGACAUUUAAGUCAGGGGUGAAAUCCCGGGGCUCAACCUCGGAACUGCCUUUGAUACUGGGUGUCUUGAGUAUGAGAGAGGUGUGUGGAACUCCGAGUGUAGAGGUGAAAUUCGUAGAUAUUCGGAAGAACACCAGUGGCGAAGGCGACACACUGGCUCAUUACUGACGCUGAGGCGCGAAAGCGUGGGGAGCAAACAGGAUUAGAUACCCCCGUAGUCCCUGUCUCUUAUAC
RNAcentral lists this ribosomal RNA (301 nucleotides) under uncultured bacterium. Its description in RNAcentral is "partial 16S ribosomal RNA". It matches the Rfam family "Bacterial small subunit ribosomal RNA", at positions 509 to 807 of the family's 1533-position model. The record is from RNAcentral.